CCCCGGCCCCCGCCUCCGCGCGCCAUUCCUCGCAGUCCUCCGGCCGAGCGUCCCGCCAGCCGCGUCUCGGCCAUGGCGGGCCUGGGGCCGCGACCCGCCAAGGGCUACCGGGUGGUGCUGCUCGGGAGCGUGGCCGUGGGCAAGACGGCACUGGCCACGCAGUUCGCCUGCGGCAGCUUCCCGGAGCAAUGCGAGCCGUCGGUGGAGGAGCUCUUCAGCAAGGUGAUCGAGGUGAACGCGGCGCCCGCGCUGCUGGAGAUCGUGGACACGGUGGGCGCCGAGCACCUGGUCACCCUCAAGGACCUGUACAUCAAGAACAGCGACGGCUUCGUGGUGCUCUACAGCGUGUGCAGCGAGGCCUCGUUCGAGGCGGUGCGGCCGCUGCGGGAGCGCAUGGGCCGGCUGCGGGGGCCCAAGGCCGUGCCGCUCGUGCUGGUGGGUACCAAGGCCGACCUGGACGCCGAGCGCCAGGUGCUGACGGCGCGGGGCCGCGCGCUGGCCCGCGAGUGGCGCUGCCCGUUCCUGGAGGUCACGGCCAAGAGCAAACUGAUGGUGGACCAGGUGUUCACGCAGGUGGUGCGCGAGAUGGAGGCCCUGGCCCCGCCCGAGGAAGAGGCCCCGGCCCCCCCCCACCAACGCCCAGGAUACGUGGCCGUCGGAGAGAUUCAUUGGCUGAUACGCCACGGUUACUUUUGAAUACGUUCAGCGCUUUUCUGAGUUCUGAAGCUCAGCCUGCCUUCCCCGCUUUUUCAGGAAAGUUAUGCGGCCCAAGACAAGUGGUUGCUUCCGCGUAGUAACUCCGACCAGCGCCUCGAGCUGUUUGCAGAGCUUCUUACGUCCUUGGUGAAGACCCCGCCACUUUGUUUGCCUGUUACAGUGCUAUCGGGAGCCCCAAAUCGGUAUCUUUUUCCUGUAUGGAGAGAGUACCACCCUUUUCUUCAAAAGAGAUUUGUUACAGGAUUCCCCCCCGGCCCCUCCCCGCCUUUUUUGACAACGAACGCCUUCAGAUGCCAUCCGAUCUUUGAAAUGGAUUGAGGAACGUGAACUAAAAAGACUUUGGGCUUCGCAUUCCAUGAGGUUUUCGUGUGUUUCCCUCUGCUUUGCAGCCUCGAAGCGAGCGGUCAUAUUUUCCUCUCUGCGUAUUUCUAAAUAUAGUUAUGACACACGCAGCCGUGGUUUGAAAGGGAUAUUGUAUACCCUGGGAGGGGAGAAAUAACUUCUCACCCAGACGUCGCUCAGCUCUGCCUUCCCUUCUGUAACGGACAUCCAGUCGAUUUUGCAUCUGUAAAUUGAGUGAAAAUAAAGUGAUUUGAA
RNA transcript from Neomonachus schauinslandi (Hawaiian monk seal), 1314 nucleotides. It is a transcript of the gene named ras-related protein Rap-2a-like, with no coding region annotated. The record is from RefSeq and is a predicted model, not a curated record. NCBI's taxonomy places the organism in Eukaryota, Metazoa, Chordata, Mammalia, Carnivora, Phocidae. The transcript has a single exon.